RNAcentral lists this transfer-messenger RNA (355 nucleotides) under Fretibacterium sp. OH1220_COT-178. It matches the Rfam family "transfer-messenger RNA". From Rfam's summary of the family: Bacterial tmRNA, also known as 10Sa RNA or SsrA, is named for its dual tRNA and mRNA-like properties. Its role is to liberate the mRNA from a stalled ribosome. RNAcentral also lists the same sequence under 1 other name. The record is from Rfam by way of RNAcentral. Lineage: Bacteria; Thermotogati; Synergistota; Synergistia; Synergistales; Aminobacteriaceae.
GGGGGCGACAGGUUUCGACGGCGUGUGGAGGAUCUGGAGGAGCAGGCCGAGUUACGUCCGUAAUCCUCGUUAAACAUUCGGGCAAGACGAUAAACGUCGACAAUAACUACGCACUGGCGGCUUAAGCCUGCCACGUUGAAGGAUGGGCUCCUCCGCCGGCCCGCCGGAGACGUCAUUUCAGGUGGAUGCUCCGCUUCGCGUCGGAUCUCGCCGGGGUGGAAAAGAUCAGAGGUCUUGGAAAGAGGAAGGCCGUUCUCUGCCUAACCUUGGACGACAAUUAAAAGAGAACUAAGCCUGUAGUGCCGCCACGGUCGGCCCAUGUCGGACGGGGGUUCGAUUCCCCCCGCCUCCACCA